UACGGAGGGUGCAAGCGUUAUCCGGAUUCACUGGGUUUAAAGGGUGCGUAGGCGGUCUUCUAAGUCAGUUGUGAAAUACUUCAGCUUAACUGGAGAGGUGCAAUUGAUACUGGAAGACUUGAGUACUGAUGAGGUAGGCGGAAUGGACGGUGUAGCGGUGAAAUGCUUAGAUAUCGUCCAGAACACCGAUAGCGAAGGCAGCUUACUAAGGAGUAACUGACGCUGAGGCACGAAAGUGUGGGGAUCAAACAGG
This 253-nucleotide ribosomal RNA is filed under the name uncultured bacterium. RNAcentral describes it as "partial 16S ribosomal RNA". It matches the Rfam family "Bacterial small subunit ribosomal RNA", at positions 524 to 776 of the family's 1533-position model. The record is from RNAcentral.